RNAcentral lists this long non-coding RNA (615 nucleotides) under Olea europaea (common olive). RNAcentral's name for it is "long non-coding RNA (OEUR_LNC002538)". Lineage: Eukaryota; Viridiplantae; Streptophyta; Magnoliopsida; Lamiales; Oleaceae. The record is from RNAcentral.
UUCCUUCCGGGGCAAUAGUUCUGCCAACUGAAUCAAAUUGGGAAAACACUCAAUGUGCAGCCACCCCAAAGACCAUAACCAAUAAAAUAGAAGCCAAAAAUACCUUCCAAAUUCUCAUCUUUUCAAUAUCAGAAUUCAGUUUUAAGAUACAAAAACAAAAAUGCACAUGUAGAACUAACUUGCAACUGAGGCACAAGUAGCAUUCCAAGAAACUCCACAAACUGGGAAAUGACAUUUGCAUUUUGUUCAUCUCAUCAAUUAGAUGUGGAAUUUCGACACAAGGGGUCUAUAAAUGGAGUGCACUCAAAUUGGCAGCAAAAUUGAUCCAUGAAAUCCAGCAAUGACAACAUAACAAGAUUUUAAAUAAAGAUGAAAAAAAGGAAUUAAUAUAGCAGCAUGACAUGAAACUCCAAAACCAUAAAAUUACUGCCAAAGCUAUAUAUAUACACAUCAAAAUUCAGAUAUACUAUGGAAACUCCUAUUACACACAACACACAUACAAAGAGCGAAAAAACCCUAAACAAAAUCGGAAUUAUGUUGGCGUUUUCUUCACCACCCAUGGUGAUUUUUUAUGGAACGACCUCCUUCUUCAGGUGUUAGUGUUUUGUUAUUUCA